Molecule: long non-coding RNA, 967 nt
Organism: Saccostrea cuccullata (small rock oyster)
Lineage: Eukaryota; Metazoa; Mollusca; Bivalvia; Ostreida; Ostreidae
Exons: 2
Source: RefSeq, a predicted model, not a curated record
ACUGACAUUUGUACGAUAGAACAACAUUUUAAUUACAAAGUAAAUGAAAUGUUUACUUCAUGACAAAUGAAUGGCCUUUCAACCCAAGGGCAGACAACCCUGGAUCUGCCACAGAGACGAAGUGCCACAACUACAUAAAGAUCAAGAUUGCCGUUUCAUUUUGUGCUCACUUUACAGAUUAUUAGCAUUCAUCAGAUGCUUGCAUGUUUAUGGUGCUAUAUGACUGGAUUGGUUUCCAUAUUUUUAAAAUCGACGAGUUUUCAAUGUAAUGUCAUAAAAAUACGACAAAAUAGUGUUUUCAGCUGCAAUGCGCAAGUCAGAAACAUACCUGUGCGAUAUGGUACUACCCGGUGGUGCUAAAAUCACGUGACAUUAGAAUAUGCAAAGUUUGACAUGAACUCACGUGUACGUGUGUGAAUUAUGUGUUUGAAAUAUUGCAAUGGGUGUUUAUGAGCUAAUAAUAAUUAUAACGUGAAAAUCAAAGAAGUAUAAUUUUUAGAAAAUCAGAUUUUUUUUAAAGAAAACCUUAAUUAUAAUGAACUUUAUAACAGACUUUUUAACCGAUAUUGUUUCGAAAGAACUUGAAGAAAAUCUUACUUUGUGGAUUUUUUUUCCUCGUGUUUUUCAAAAAUUAUGUGAUAAAUCAGUGACAGUCACUACGAUCCUCUGUCAGCUGGCAUAUUUUUAUUGUGUGAUCUGUGUAGAGGGUUUUUCUAUAACAUACAUGCAGGCGUCGGAACGGGAGGGGGGUUAGCCCUCCCCCCCACACACUUUUUUUGCAAAGAUAGACAUAAUAUAGACAUUGAAUAUUGGGGGUUUACCUUUUUUAUUGGUUUAGCCCCUACUUUCAAUUAGCCACCCCACUUAUAAUUUGCUUCCGACGCCUAUGUAUAAUCAAUAGAAUAGCGUAUUUUCUGGUUAAAAAUUGUUCUUUAUUUUAAAGGAAUUAAACAUACUGUAAGUUGUA